GACGAACGCUGGCGGCGUGCUUAACACAUGCAAGUCGAACGGAAAGGCCCUCUUUUGGGGGGUGCUCGGGUGGCGAACGGGGGGGGAACACGUGAGUAACCUGCCCCUGACUUUGGGAUAACUUCAGGAAACUGGGGCUAAUACCGGAUAGGAACCCCUUCUGCAUGGUGGGGGGUGGAAAGUUUCGGCGGUUGGGGAUGGACUCGCGGCUUAUCAGCUUGUUGGUGGGGUAGUGGCUUACCAAGGCUUUGACGGGUAGCCGGCCUGAGAGGGUGACCGGCCACAUUGGGACUGAGAUACGGCCCAGACUCCUACGGGAGGCAGCAGUGGGGAAUAUUGCACAAUGGGCGGAAGCCUGAUGCAGCAACGCCGCGUGCGGGAUGACGGCCUUCGGGUUGUAAACCGCUUUCGCCUGUGACGAAGCGUGAGUGACGGUAAUGGGUAAAGAAGCACCGGCUAACUACGUG
Molecule: ribosomal RNA, 467 nt
Filed under: uncultured bacterium
Lineage: Bacteria
Description: partial 16S ribosomal RNA
Rfam family: Bacterial small subunit ribosomal RNA
Source: RNAcentral